Long non-coding RNA from Xenopus tropicalis (tropical clawed frog), 1390 nucleotides. RefSeq lists it as uncharacterized. The record is from RefSeq and is a predicted model, not a curated record. The transcript has 2 exons. Lineage: Eukaryota; Metazoa; Chordata; Amphibia; Anura; Pipidae.
CUGGCACUUCAAUCCACUGCAAAAGACUCAGCAAUGGACAGUUAAUGCUGGAGAUCUUUACUUAGGUCUCCACAUAGGGAAUAAUGGAAACCCUUGAAGGCCAAGUCGUCGUGAUUGCACAGUAACUUGAAUCCCAAUCCAGAUCUGCUUUUUGAUGACUUAGAAUAUCCUUAUAUAUUACAAUAGGGGUUAAAUUAUUCAUUGUAUAAAUACCAAUAAACUAUAGAAAGUAGGGGAAAGGUUAGUUAAACUGGAGUAAAGGUAAGUGAUGUUCAGGCUGAUUCAUUUUUUCCUAAUCGCAUGACGAAGCAAAACUGAAUCCUUCUUUAAUGAAUUUUCCCCCUGGGCAAUAAUUAAGGAAUUUGCGUUGGCUGCUGACUCAUUGUUCAUGCAUUAAUAUGUUUUUCUACAUUCAUUUUGAAACCCUUGUUUCCAUCUACGUGCCUUGGGUACUGUUUGCUGAGCACUGAGCCAUCUUUUAUUUUCCCAGGUGUCCCCUGUGCCAAUUCCAGGAGGGACCAUGUGAAGAAGAGAAUAUCAGGGGAAGUUCUGCAUGCGUUUACUCAGGCACAGUGCUCACCAGAGAGUACCCCCAGGCUUGUGUUAUUCUGUGGAGAGGAACGCCAACAGAAAGGAAAGUAGCGCCCACGUGCUCUAAUACAGAGGCGGAAGGUAACAGACAGGAGAUAAACGUGCAGGAAAGAGCUGAGGUUCCGUUCGAAGCCACAACACAACGCUCUGGUUACUCCGAUUAUACAAAUUAAUCCGUAUCCUACUUACUCUGACAUUAUGGGAUAUAAAACUGCUGCUCUCACUGUACUGCAUCCUUACCCUCCCAGCAUACCCUUUAAAACAUUCAUGCAGAUUUAACCUAAUGGCAGAUUCACCAUUUAAGUGUCAGUCAGCUGGCAUGUGCUACAUAGUUUUAGGAGUAAGAACCAGCAGUGCAGGGAAUAUAAGUGGUCAGACAAAGGGGAAAAAGACAGAGUUUGGGUGCAAAUCUGUUUAAAAAUGCAUUCACGUCUAAGAGCUCAAAAAAGCAGCAGCUCCUGAAAUGAUCUCUGGGGACCAUCAUGUGCAGCCAAUAGAAAUAUAAAUCUGAGCCAUGACUGAGAUCCUGUUCAGCAGUUCAUUUAAGCUGCUCACACUUGAACUUCCCUGUACAAACUUUCUAGUACGCCAACGUUCCCUCCAUGCUCUGAUGCCAUCAGUAACCCCACACCUAAUGCAACUGUAUAUACAACUGAAAUAUUUAUAUGUGAAUGGCUGACUCAGUACCACAUGUACCUUACUUUAUAAAGAUUCCAUGGGUACAGUCUCCACCUCCAAGGUUCUGCAGCCUGUUCAGCAACACCCAGGUUCCAUAAGUAACCCUCUCUGCCUCUGCUGA